This 548-nucleotide ribosomal RNA is filed under the name uncultured bacterium. RNAcentral's name for it is "bacterial SSU rRNA". It matches the Rfam family "Bacterial small subunit ribosomal RNA", at positions 356 to 896 of the family's 1533-position model. The record is from RNAcentral.
GGGGAAUUUUGGACGAUGGGGGCAACCCUGAUCCAGCCAUGCCGCGUGUAUGAAGAAGGCCUUAGGGUUGUAAAGUACUUUUGUUAGGGAAGAAAAGUCAGCUGUGAAUAAUGGCUGAUACUGACGGUACCUAAAGAAUAAGCACCGGCUAACUACGUGCCAGCAGCCGCGGUAAUACGUAGGGUGCGAGCGUUAAUCGGAAUUAUUGGGCGUAAAGCGAGUGUAGACGGUUAUUUAAGCCAGAUGUGAAAUACCCGAGCCUAACUUGGGAGGUGCAUAUGGAACUGGGUAGCUAGAGUGUGUCAGAGGGAGGUAGAACUCCACGUGUAGCAGUGAAAUGCGUAGAGAUGUGGAAGAAUACCGAUGGCGAAGGCAGCCUCCUGGGAUAACACUGACGUUGAGGCUCGAAAGCGUGGGGAGCAAACAGGAUUAGAUACCCUGGUAGUCCACGCCCUAAACGAUGACAAUUAGCUGUUGGCCCCAUUAAGGGGUGAGUAGCGAAGCUAACGCGUGAAAUUGUCCGCCUGGGGAGUACGGUCGCAAGAUUA